RNAcentral lists this ribosomal RNA (460 nucleotides) under uncultured Methylomirabilota bacterium. Its description in RNAcentral is "bacterial SSU rRNA". It matches the Rfam family "Bacterial small subunit ribosomal RNA", at positions 977 to 1434 of the family's 1533-position model. The record is from RNAcentral. RNAcentral also lists the same sequence under 1 other name. Lineage: Bacteria; Methylomirabilota (SeqCode).
GGGCUUGACAUCCCACGAACCUGCCUGAAAGGGCGGGGUGCCCGCAAGGGAGCGCGGAGACAGGUGGUGCAUGGCUGUCGUCAGCUCGUGUCGUGAGAUGUUGGGUUAAGUCCCGCAACGAGCGCAACCCUCACCCCUAGUUGCCACCGGGUCAUGCCGAGCACUCAAGGGGAACUGCCAGCGUCAAGCUGGAGGAAGGCGGGGAUGACGUCAAGUCAUCAUGCCCCUUACGCCCUGGGCUACACACGUGCUACAAUGGCCGGUACAAAGGGAUGCGAGACCGCGAGGUGGAGCUAAUCCCAAAAAGCUGGUCUAAGUUCAGAUUGCAGUCUGCAACUCGACUGCAUGAAGGAGGAAUCGCUAGUAAUCGCGCAUCAGCCCGGCGCGGUGAAUACGUUCCCGGGCCUUGUACACACCGCCCGUCACACCACGAAAGCUGUCUGUACUCGAAGUCGCUGAG